GACGAACGCUGGCGGCGUGCUUGACACAUGCAAGUCGAACGGAAAGGCCCUGCUUUUGUGGGGUGCUCGAGUGGCGAACGGGUGAGUAACACGUGAGUAACCUGCCCUUGACUUUGGGAUAACUUCAGGAAACUGGGGCUAAUACCGGAUAGGAGCUCCUGCUGCAUGGUGGGGGUUGGAAAGUUUCGGCGGUUGGGGAUGGACUCGCGGCUUAUCAGCUUGUUGGCGGGGUAGUGGCUUACCAAGGCUUUGACGGGUAGCCGGCCUGAGAGGGUGACCGGCCACAUUGGGACUGAGAUACGGCCCAGACUCCUACGGGAGGCAGCAGUGGGGAAUAUUGCACAAUGGGCGGAAGCCUGAUGCAGCAACGCCGCGUGCGGGAUGACGGCCUUCGGGUUGUAAACCGCUUUCGCCUGUGACGAAGCGUGAGUGACGGUAAUGGGUAAAGAAGCACCGGCUAACUACGUG
RNAcentral lists this ribosomal RNA (468 nucleotides) under uncultured bacterium. RNAcentral's name for it is "partial 16S ribosomal RNA". It matches the Rfam family "Bacterial small subunit ribosomal RNA", at positions 28 to 507 of the family's 1533-position model. The record is from RNAcentral.